RNAcentral lists this unclassified non-coding RNA (201 nucleotides) under Hevea brasiliensis (rubber tree). Lineage: Eukaryota; Viridiplantae; Streptophyta; Magnoliopsida; Malpighiales; Euphorbiaceae. The record is from RNAcentral.
CAAGAACUGAAAGAAACACUAUGUACACCUCACCCUCAAGAUGGGGAUGAAGACCCACUUCUUUGGGCAGAGAAGGACCUUUCGCUCUCCAGACGGAGAAGGGAAGGCCUCAGGCAGCAAACUCUCUCAAGAAGAACUUAAAAGAAAAAGAAUCAGAGAAAGCUUCUCUCUCUAGAAAUUAGAGAGAGAAGCCAAAAGUUG